This 914-nucleotide long non-coding RNA is filed under the name Vulpes vulpes (red fox). RNAcentral's name for it is "lncRNA (ENSVVUG00000024196.1)". Lineage: Eukaryota; Metazoa; Chordata; Mammalia; Carnivora; Canidae. The record is from RNAcentral.
AUAGCUGUUUUAUUUUUAUUUACAUCUCAGAUCACUUCCUAUCUCUUAAGUUUGAUGAUGAAAAAUGAACCUUCAAUUAGCUAAGCAUUUUUCUUUAUUUGUUUUAAUUUUAAAUAUAAACGAUCAUCUUAGUUGGCUUCAAUUUCUGUAACAAAAUUCCAUACACUGAGUGACUUAAACAGCAAACAUUUAUUUCUUACAGUUUUGACAGCUAUGAUGUCCAAGAUCAAGACACUGGCAGAUUCAGUUUCUGAUGAGAGCCCUCCUCCUAGCUUGUGGAUGGCUGCCUUCUCAUUGUGUCCUCACAUGGCAGAGAGAACUGAGAACUCUGAUUUCUUGUAAAAGGACACCAUUCCAUCCUGGGGUUCCACUCUCAUGACUUCAUCUAAAUUCAAUCACUUGCCAAAUGCCUUACCUCCUACUAUCACCACUUUGAGAGUUACAGCUUGGACAUAUGAAUUUUGGGAGGACACAAACAUUCAGUCCAUAACAAUAACUUAGAUUUAUUUAUAGGGAAGGAGCUAUUCGUGGAGGAAUAACUAAAACGUAUAAAGAAAUAAUGCAGCAGCAGAGAGCAACCGAUCCACCACGAUUGUUUCUUGAGGUGCAAAAGGAAGUCAUAAGAUCAACAUUAGGCCAUCAACAGAAUUUGAAGAAAAUGAAGAACACAAAAAAUCCAACAAUAAUAGUCUGUUACUACAGAACGAACAAGAAAAUACAUCAGAAUCAGCUGGAGUCUAAACAAGAGAUCCCAGAGAGCUCUGAUGAUCCAAGCAGUGGCCUGUCAGUGGCAGGGGCCAGAGAUCUGGGCCUAUCUACUGUAUCUCAUGAGAAUGCAAUGGAGAAAGCCAACUUCAGAGAGACCACAUCUGAAAAAUAGUGGUGAUGACAAUAAAAUCAAGUCAUCAGCAACA